Molecule: ribosomal RNA, 248 nt
Filed under: uncultured bacterium
Lineage: Bacteria
Description: partial 16S ribosomal RNA
Rfam family: Bacterial small subunit ribosomal RNA
Source: RNAcentral
AGACGUAGGGGGCGAGCGUUGUCCGGAAUUACUGGGCGUAAAGAGCACGUAGGCGGAUAUUUAAGUCAGGUGUGAAAGACCGCAGCUCAACUGCGGGGUUGCACCUGAAACUGGGUAUCUUGAGGGUAGGAGAGGGAAGUGGAAUUCCUGGUGUAGCGGUGAAAUGCGUAGAAAUCAGGAGGAACACCAGUGGCGAAGGCGACUUUUCUGGACUGACCCUGACGCUGAGGUGCGAAAGCGUGGGUAGC